RNAcentral lists this ribosomal RNA (440 nucleotides) under uncultured bacterium. RNAcentral's name for it is "partial 16S ribosomal RNA". It matches the Rfam family "Bacterial small subunit ribosomal RNA", at positions 338 to 795 of the family's 1533-position model. The record is from RNAcentral.
GCUACGGGUGGCAGCAGUGGGGAAUAUUGCACAAUGGGGGAAACCCUGAUGCAGCGACGCCGCGUGAGUGAAGAAGUAUCUCGGUACGUAAAGCUCUAUCAGCAGGGAAGAAAAUGAAGGUAUCUGACUAAGAAGCCCCGGCUAACUACGUGCCAGCAGCCGCGGUAAUACGUAGGGGACAAGCGUUAUCAGGAUUUACUGGGUGUAAAGGGGGCGUAGACGGCAGCGCAAGUCUGGAGUGAAAUGCCGGGGCCCAACCCAGGAACUGCACUGGAAAUUGUGAAUCUGGAGUGCAGGAGAGGUCAGCGGAAUUCCUGGUGUAGCGGUGAAAUGCGUAGAUAUCAGGAGGAACACCAGUGGCGAAGGCGGCUGACUGGACUGUAACUGACGUUGAGGCGCGAAGGCGUGGGGAGCAAACAGGAUUAGAUACCCCAGUAGUC